This 71-nucleotide transfer RNA is filed under the name Marmota monax (woodchuck). It matches the Rfam family "tRNA". Rfam says of the family: Transfer RNA (tRNA) molecules are approximately 80 nucleotides in length. Their secondary structure includes four short double-helical elements and three loops (D, anti-codon, and T loops). The record is from Rfam by way of RNAcentral. Lineage: Eukaryota; Metazoa; Chordata; Mammalia; Rodentia; Sciuridae.
GGGGAUGUUGCUCAGUGGUACAGCACUUAUCUAGAGUGUGGGAAGCCUGGGUUCAGUCCCCAGUAUCACUA